UCUGCUGCGCUAUGAUGGGAAAUCCUAUUUCAAGAUUUUCAAGCUCUAGAAACUGCUGAUUGUUUUUAAAUAAGAGAUACAAGGAUUCCCUGUGACCUAGCAGUUAAGGACUUGGUGUUGUCACUGCUAUGGCUCUUGUCACUGCUGUGGCUCAGUUCCUUCUGUGGCCCAGGAACUUCUGCAUACAAGAAGCUGGUGUUAUUCAGGUCACUUUCAGAUUAAGGCAGUUACAUGCACGUAUGUAUUUGACUAUCUUUGAGGAUCUAGUUCAGCAUGACUGAGGGGUAGUUUAAGGACUUUAAGGAGGCAAAGUAGGGUUAAUGAAGCACAUGGUAAACCUGAGCCUGGUCUGACUUUGAAUUUGGGUUUGAAAAUUGCUAGCUAGGUGGACCUGUGAUGAAUUAGUUAAUGUCCCCAUUUUCUGUUUCUGAAAAAUGGGAAUAAAUAGUACUCCCACAUUGCGGAAUAUUGGAGAAAAGUUUAUGAUAGCUGAGCCAUAGUAAAUUCUCAGUAAAUCCCCAUUGCCUCCCUUUGAUCUCAUGGACUAUAUUCUGAAGGGAUCAUUUGUUCUCCAACUCAUUUGUUUUAUCUCUUCUCAUGUAGCUACUCCUUUAAGGAAAGUAAAGGAAGCAUUUAUUACUGGCUUGGUGAACAACAUAGGCAGCAUGCUGACCCAGUUCUACGGAUUCACCCUAUUAAGGAAGAAAUGGAGAUUCCUGAUUUGAGAGAUUGCUUGGUCAAAAUUCGGCAAGACUACAAUUUGCAUAUGCUGCUAAGCCCUUCGGCAUUGUGUUCUUUUCACUGACAGAAUGUGUUCCACAAGAAGUAUCUGCCUGUGGCCAGCAUGGUGAGUUGAUGGCUUGGCCACCACCACCUCGAGAGAAAACUGGUGCAGCCAGAGGUGAUGUGCUCCAAAUGAUAACUGCCAUCCCCUGUCUAUGUGGGUUCUCACAGUCAUAAUAUAGUUUAUAUCACAUCAGAAAAAUUAAUGUGCCUACUUCUCAAAUGUAAAGAUACUUACCAGACAUUGUAAAAGCAUAUUCAUGUAAGUGAAUUUGUUCAGGUAAAACUAUUACCUGUUGAGCUCUAGAGAUGUGAGCUACAGUGAGAGCUGUUUUCUUUUUGUAUAUAACUUUCUCACCAUGAUUUCUGUAUCAUGACACUGCCAUUAUUCUGUGUCAAGUCCCCCAUGUACCCCCAGGUCACAUUGUCUUGAGGUGGGGUAUCCUUUGAGUCCCAGAAUAACCACAGGUCUAGACAGAAUCCUAUGUGAACCAGCAGAAACCUCCAUGAAAAGGAGCGAUGUUUUCCUUGCUUCUUCCCCCUGCCCUCAAAAGUGCUCCCAUAAGAUUUCUGAACUAGGAGAGUAGAAAGAGAAGUACUUUAAAAUCUGCAUUUUUAAUUACAUUUUUAGCAUUCUCCUGCGCAGUUCUGUAACAUCUGUAGUGCUAAGCACUGGGGAGAAGAAAGUGCCAUUUUGGAGAUGAAAAAAUAGGUUGAUUCUGUGUUGGCUUCUUCCUUGCUACUCUUUGAAGACUGUUUUUGCAGCAACAGAAGCUUUUGUUGUCAUCAGUGAUGUUGAGAGAUUUAUACAUGUUUAUGUUCGGCUCAAGAAAAGCUGCUUUAUCUUCUGUCUACUAGGUCUUUUUCUUUGCAGUUGAUAAAGAAGUUGGGGUUCGUUUCUUCCAUGCCUUGAAAGAUGUGGGUUUGUUAUUAUUUAAUCAUUUAUUUUGUUAGGUUUCCACACCUAAAUAAAGAAUGAGUCAAAAUCUGGGAGUUGGACA
Molecule: long non-coding RNA, 1784 nt
Filed under: Sus scrofa (pig)
Lineage: Eukaryota; Metazoa; Chordata; Mammalia; Artiodactyla; Suidae
Description: lncRNA (ENSSSCG00070019088.1)
Source: RNAcentral